Molecule: ribosomal RNA, 468 nt
Filed under: uncultured bacterium
Lineage: Bacteria
Description: partial 16S ribosomal RNA
Rfam family: Bacterial small subunit ribosomal RNA
Source: RNAcentral
GACGAACGCUGGCGGCGUGCUUAACACAUGCAAGUCGAACGGAAAGGCCCUGCUUUUGUGGGGUGCUCGAGUGGCGAACGGGUGAGUAACACGUGAGUAACCUGCCCUUGACUUUGGGAUAACUUCAGGAAACUGGGGCUAAUACCGGAUAGGAGCUCCUGCUGCAUGGUGGGGGUUGGAAAGUUUCGGCGGUUGGGGAUGGACUCGCGGCGUAUCAGCUUGUUGGUGGGGUAGUGGCUUACCAAGGCUUUGACGGGUAGCCGGCCUGAGAGGGUGACCGGCCACAUUGGAACUGAGAUACGGCCCAGACUCCUACGGGAGGCAGCAGUGGAGUAUAUUGCACAAUGGGCGGAAGCCUGAUGCAGCAACGCCGCGUGCGGGAUGACAGCCUGCGGUUUGUAUACCGCUUUCGCCUGUGACGAAGCGUGAGUGACGGUAAUGGGUAAAUAAGCACCGGCUAACUACGUG